This is a non-coding RNA of Miniopterus natalensis, 529 nucleotides long. The record is from RefSeq and is a predicted model, not a curated record. NCBI's taxonomy places the organism in Eukaryota, Metazoa, Chordata, Mammalia, Chiroptera, Miniopteridae.
GUUAAAUUCUGCGGUUUUUAAACGUCAAUUUUCCCUACCCUCCCAUGUUUUCAUUUUUAAACAUCUACGAAUUUACUAUAGGUUGCUUUUGCUUUCUAGGUGGAACACGAAAGGAAUGUUACCGGAAAGGGAACCUGGCCCGGAAGGGGUCUGCCUAGGGCCAGCCAGUAGUGUGUGGCUUCUUGACUUUGUGUAGGAAAAAUUUCACAGCGUGAAUCCAGGUGAAUUUUAGAGGACGGUUAUUAAAGCUGGGGACAGUGAGCCUGGCCAGUGCGGGUCGGUGGUUGAGCGUGAAGCUAUGACCCGGGAGGGCCUUGUUGCAUUCUGGGCCAGGGCACUGCCCAGCAGCAGGCUGUCCCCAGCCGGGGACCUGCAGGAGGCAGCCAAUGGCAGUCAAAGUAAUGUAAGUUGCUACCCACAAGACAAACGUGAGUUUAAAAAUACAGAGGGAAGGUGACAGAGUGGGCAAGUUUCACAGAAGUCUUUUCCUGCCUUUCCUCUGGAUCUCUGCUGUCAUCUCCAUCCAAGG